GGGUUGUGAGGUUAAGCGACUAAGCGUACACGGUGGAUGCCCUGGCAGUCAGAGGCGAUGAAGGACGUGCUAAUCUGCGAUAAGCGUCGGUAAGGUGAUAUGAACCGUUAUAACCGGCGAUUUCCGAAUGGGGAAACCCAGUGUGUUUCGACACACUAUCAUUAACUGAAUCCAUAGGUUAAUGAGGCGAACCGGGGGAACUGAAACAUCUAAGUACCCCGAGGAAAAGAAAUCAACCGAGAUUCCCCCAGUAGCGGCGAGCGAACGGGGAGCAGCCCAGAGCCUGAAUCAGUGUGUGUGUUAGUGGAAGCGUCUGGAAAGGCGCGCGAUACAGGGUGACAGCCCCGUACACAAAAAUGCACAUGCUGUGAGCUCGAUGAGUAGGGCGGGACACGUGGUAUCCUGUCUGAAUAUGGGGGGACCAUCCUCCAAGGCUAAAUACUCCUGACUGACCGAUAGUGAACCAGUACCGUGAGGGAAAGGCGAAAAGAACCCCGGCGAGGGGAGUGAAAAAGAACCUGAAACCGUGUACGUACAAGCAGUGGGAGCCUCUUUUAUGGGGUGACUGCGUACCUUUUGUAUAAUGGGUCAGCGACUUAUAUUCUGUAGCAAGGUUAACCGAAUAGGGGAGCCGAAGGGAAACCGAGUCUUAACUGGGCGUUAAGUUGCAGGGUAUAGACCCGAAACCCGGUGAUCUAGCCAUGGGCAGGUUGAAGGUUGGGUAACACUAACUGGAGGACCGAACCGACUAAUGUUGAAAAAUUAGCGGAUGACUUGUGGCUGGGGGUGAAAGGCCAAUCAAACCGGGAGAUAGCUGGUUCUCCCCGAAAGCUAUUUAGGUAGCGCCUCGUGAAUUCAUCUCCGGGGGUAGAGCACUGUUUCGGCAAGGGGGUCAUCCCGACUUACCAACCCGAUGCAAACUGCGAAUACCGGAGAAUGUUAUCACGGGAGACACACGGCGGGUGCUAACGUCCGUCGUGAAGAGGGAAACAACCCAGACCGCCAGCUAAGGUCCCAAAGUCAUGGUUAAGUGGGAAACGAUGUGGGAAGGCCCAGACAGCCAGGAUGUUGGCUUAGAAGCAGCCAUCAUUUAAAGAAAGCGUAAUAGCUCACUGGUCGAGUCGGCCUGCGCGGAAGAUGUAACGGGGCUAAACCAUGCACCGAAGCUGCGGCAGCGACGCUUAUGCGUUGUUGGGUAGGGGAGCGUUCUGUAAGCCUGUGAAGGUGUGCUGUGAGGCAUGCUGGAGGUAUCAGAAGUGCGAAUGCUGACAUAAGUAACGAUAAAGCGGGUGAAAAGCCCGCUCGCCGGAAGACCAAGGGUUCCUGUCCAACGUUAAUCGGGGCAGGGUGAGUCGACCCCUAAGGCGAGGCCGAAAGGCGUAGUCGAUGGGAAACAGGUUAAUAUUCCUGUACUUGGUGUUACUGCGAAGGGGGACGGAGAAGGCUAUGUUGGCCGGGCGACGGUUGUCCCGGUUUAAGCGUGUAGGCUGGUUUUCCAGGCAAAUCCGGAAAAUCAAGGCUGAGGCGUGAUGACGAGGCACUACGGUGCUGAAGCAACAAAUGCCCUGCUUCCAGGAAAAGCCUCUAAGCAUCAGGUAACAUCAAAUCGUACCCCAAACCGACACAGGUGGUCAGGUAGAGAAUACCAAGGCGCUUGAGAGAACUCGGGUGAAGGAACUAGGCAAAAUGGUGCCGUAACUUCGGGAGAAGGCACGCUGAUAUGUAGGUGAAGCGACUUGCUCGUGGAGCUGAAAUCAGUCGAAGAUACCAGCUGGCUGCAACUGUUUAUUAAAAACACAGCACUGUGCAAACACGAAAGUGGACGUAUACGGUGUGACGCCUGCCCGGUGCCGGAAGGUUAAUUGAUGGGGUUAGCGCAAGCGAAGCUCUUGAUCGAAGCCCCGGUAAACGGCGGCCGUAACUAUAACGGUCCUAAGGUAGCGAAAUUCCUUGUCGGGUAAGUUCCGACCUGCACGAAUGGCGUAAUGAUGGCCAGGCUGUCUCCACCCGAGACUCAGUGAAAUUGAACUCGCUGUGAAGAUGCAGUGUACCCGCGGCAAGACGGAAAGACCCCGUGAACCUUUACUAUAGCUUGACACUGAACAUUGAGCCUUGAUGUGUAGGAUAGGUGGGAGGCUUUGAAGUGUGGACGCCAGUCUGCAUGGAGCCGACCUUGAAAUACCACCCUUUAAUGUUUGAUGUUCUAACGUUGACCCGUAAUCCGGGUUGCGGACAGUGUCUGGUGGGUAGUUUGACUGGGGCGGUCUCCUCCUAAAGAGUAACGGAGGAGCACGAAGGUUGGCUAAUCCUGGUCGGACAUCAGGAGGUUAGUGCAAUGGCAUAAGCCAGCUUGACUGCGAGCGUGACGGCGCGAGCAGGUGCGAAAGCAGGUCAUAGUGAUCCGGUGGUUCUGAAUGGAAGGGCCAUCGCUCAACGGAUAAAAGGUACUCCGGGGAUAACAGGCUGAUACCGCCCAAGAGUUCAUAUCGACGGCGGUGUUUGGCACCUCGAUGUCGGCUCAUCACAUCCUGGGGCUGAAGUAGGUCCCAAGGGUAUGGCUGUUCGCCAUUUAAAGUGGUACGCGAGCUGGGUUUAGAACGUCGUGAGACAGUUCGGUCCCUAUCUGCCGUGGGCGCUGGAGAACUGAGGGGGGCUGCUCCUAGUACGAGAGGACCGGAGUGGACGCAUCACUGGUGUUCGGGUUGUCAUGCCAAUGGCACUGCCCGGUAGCUAAAUGCGGAAGAGAUAAGUGCUGAAAGCAUCUAAGCACGAAACUUGCCCCGAGAUGAGUUCUCCCUGACUCCUUGAGAGUCCUGAAGGAACGUUGAAGACGACGACGUUGAUAGGCCGGGUGUGUAAGCGCAGCGAUGCGUUGAGCUAACCGGUACUAAUGAACCGUGAGGCUUAACCUUACAACGCCGAAGGUGUUU
Molecule: ribosomal RNA, 2930 nt
Filed under: Escherichia coli
Lineage: Bacteria; Pseudomonadati; Pseudomonadota; Gammaproteobacteria; Enterobacterales; Enterobacteriaceae
Description: 23S ribosomal RNA
Rfam family: Bacterial large subunit ribosomal RNA
Source: RNAcentral